Molecule: transfer RNA, 76 nt
Filed under: Oceanibacterium hippocampi
Lineage: Bacteria; Pseudomonadati; Pseudomonadota; Alphaproteobacteria; Sneathiellales; Sneathiellaceae
Also listed under: 13 other names
Description: tRNA-Ala
Rfam family: tRNA
About the family: Transfer RNA (tRNA) molecules are approximately 80 nucleotides in length.
Source: RNAcentral
GGGGCCGUAGCUCAGUUGGGAGAGCGCGACGUUCGCAAUGUCGAGGUCAGGGGUUCGAUUCCCCUCGGCUCCACCA